CCUACGGGUGGCAGCAGUGGGGAAUAUUGGGCAAUGGGCGCAAGCCUGACCCAGCAACGCCGCGUGAAGGAAGAAGGCCCUAGGGUUGUAAACUUCUUUUAUCAGGGACGAAGCAAGUGACGGUACCUGAUGAAUAAGCCACGGCUAACUACGUGCCACCAGCCGCGGUAUUACGUAGGUGGCAAGCGUUAUCCGGAUUUACUGGGUGUAAAGGGCGUGUAGGCGGGAAAGCAAGUCAGAUGUGAAAACCAUGGGCUCAACCUGUGGCCUGCAUUUGAAACUGUUUUUCUUGAGUACUGGAGAGGCAGACGGAAUGCCUGGUGUAGCGGUGAAAUGCGUAGAUAUUAGGAGGAACACCAGUGGCGAAGGCAGUCUGCUGGACAGCAACUGACGCUGAGGCGCGAAAGCGUGGGGAGCAAACAGGAUUAGAUACCCUAGUAGUC
This 443-nucleotide ribosomal RNA is filed under the name uncultured bacterium. Its description in RNAcentral is "partial 16S ribosomal RNA". It matches the Rfam family "Bacterial small subunit ribosomal RNA", at positions 338 to 795 of the family's 1533-position model. The record is from RNAcentral.